UAUGUGUGUAAGGACGGUUCCGCUGUGGCUUCAUUUGCAGCUAUUUUCGUUUAUUCGUCGGAGAGCAAAUCGGAAGAAAUAACUGGCAAUUGUGUAUUAAAUGUUCGGAAUCCAAACGAACCAUGUAAACCGAACUACAAGUGUGAACACACCCUCAAAUUCUGUAAAUGGAUAAACAUGUAAAUACAGUAUGUAACAAGUGGAGUUGUCCAUUUUACUUGGGUUUUUGCAGGUUUUCUUGUUCUAAUAUUGGAUUACCAGGUUGCGAUGCUCUCUCGUUAGGAGGAUAAUCAUUCAGGAGCUCAGAGAAAAAUGGAUUCGUUUUGCUUCAUCUCUCUCUGCUUGGCGACUGAAAUGUGUUUAACGAUAGAUUAAAAGAGGGAGGCAGUCUCAAUUCCCACCAGCACUCAGCACUGACCUCCAUUCUGGAUCAAUCUGGAGCGAUUACUCUUAAAACUCUCAUUAAGAAAUUAAUUGGAGCUGCAGGACUUUAGAAAUGGGGGAGGAUGAGUGCGGUGCCGCCCAAUUGAUUUUACACACUCUUGGCUUUAAGGCCUCGGGGGCCGACUUCUGUUCCACACAAUGGCUUCUUCGGAGUUGAGAGGUAGGGAAAAAUACUGAUAAUGUGCCCUAAUUGUCUACAUUUGCUUGAAAUUAUAGGUCAUAUCACAUCAGUUCUGCUCAUGCGCUCAGCGUGAUAGCUCUUAUUCACUCUUAGAGUCUCAGUCCUGACAAUAAGCACCCUUGAUAUCUGUAAUGGAUUUGAUGGGAACAAGAGCAAAAUAGCAGUGCAAGGUUUAUUAGUUUCUUGUUGAGAGAGCCCUGUUUAUAGCUGGGCUAGAUAAGGAUGGUGCUUCACUAAUAUGAGCUGGCAGAAAUGAGCUGUGUGGACACACACGCACACUUACACACACGAGUUUGCUUGCAGCCCCUUGGCAGUUCAGCUUAUUGAUUGAGACAGAUGCAGGCUGUAGUUGAAGAACUCGCCCACAAAUAAAAAGCGAAUUCAAGACUGUAGAUGAAUUGUUAGCUCAAGACAAUUUCGCAGCAAGCUGAUUGUCAGCGCAGCAUUUGUUUUCCCACCUGUCGUAACAAACUGUCGGCCGUUGACAGGUAUUGAUACCCCCCUGCAGACGGAGUGAAAGUGGGUGGGCAGUGUGCUCUGAUAUCGACUCCGCAGAGCUCAAACUAACCCGAUGUGUGGUACUUGUUAUGAGGAUUUUUUUUUUUUUUUUUUUUUUUUGAUAUUCCUGUUACUGACAAAAUGGUGAUCCACACUUCAGUAAGCCAGGUUGGGCUUUGAAAAAAAAACAAAAAACAACUAACCUUGACCAUUAAAUUAAAUCUGAUCU
Molecule: long non-coding RNA, 1352 nt
Organism: Ctenopharyngodon idella (grass carp)
Lineage: Eukaryota; Metazoa; Chordata; Actinopteri; Cypriniformes; Xenocyprididae
Exons: 3
Source: RefSeq, a predicted model, not a curated record